GUCCCAGCUACUCAGGAGGCUGAGGCAGGAGGAUCACUUGAGCCCAGGAGUUCAAGGCUGUAAUGUGCCAUGAUUGUGCCUGUGAAUAGCCACUGCACUCUAGGCCUGGGCAAUACAAUGAGACCCUGUCUCAA
Sapajus apella (tufted capuchin) is the source of this 134-nucleotide long non-coding RNA. RefSeq lists it as uncharacterized. The record is from RefSeq and is a predicted model, not a curated record. The transcript is spliced from 2 exons. Lineage: Eukaryota; Metazoa; Chordata; Mammalia; Primates; Cebidae.